RNAcentral lists this ribosomal RNA (696 nucleotides) under uncultured Bacteroidota bacterium. Its description in RNAcentral is "bacterial SSU rRNA". It matches the Rfam family "Bacterial small subunit ribosomal RNA", at positions 121 to 818 of the family's 1533-position model. The record is from RNAcentral. Lineage: Bacteria; Pseudomonadati; Bacteroidota.
CCAACCUGCCCUCUACUCCGGAACAGCCCGUCGAAAGGCGGAUUAAUGCCGGAUGGUGUCACAUGCCCGCAUGAGUGUGUGACCAAAGGCAACGGUAGAGGAUGGGGAUGCGACUGAUUAGCUAGUUGGCGGGGUAACGGCCCACCAAGGCUACGAUCAGUAGGGGUUCUGAGAGGAAGGUCCCCCACAUUGGAACUGAGACACGGUCCAAACUCCUACGGGAGGCAGCAGUGAGGAAUAUUGGUCAAUGGGCGAGAGCCUGAACCAGCCAAGUAGCGUGCGGGACGACGGCCCUAUGGGUUGUAAACCGCUUUUGAUUGGGAACAAAGAGCGCCACGUGUGGUGCGUUGCGUGUACCUUUCGAAUAAGCAUCGGCUAAUUCCGUGCCAGCAGCCGCGGUAAUACGGAAGAUGCGAGCGUUAUCCGGAUUUAUUGGGUUUAAAGGGAGCGUAGGCGGGCUGUUAAGUCAGCGGUCAAAUGUCAGGGCCCAACCUUGGCAUGCCGUUGAUACUGGCGGCCUUGAGUUCACACAAGGAAGGUGGAAUUCGUCGUGUAGCGGUGAAAUGCUUAGAUAUGACGAAGAACUCCGAUUGCGAAGGCAGCCUUCUGGGGUGUUACUGACGCUGAGGCUCGAAAGUGCGGGAAUCAAACAGGAUUAGAUACCCUGGUAGUCCGCACCGUAAACGAUGAGCGCCC